GGCCCCUUGGUCAAGCGGUUAAGACACCGCCCUUUCACGGCGGCUACGGGAGUUCGAAUCUCCCAGGGGUCACCA
This 75-nucleotide transfer RNA is filed under the name Pseudoramibacter sp. RNAcentral describes it as "tRNA-Glu". It matches the Rfam family "tRNA". Rfam says of the family: Transfer RNA (tRNA) molecules are approximately 80 nucleotides in length. Their secondary structure includes four short double-helical elements and three loops (D, anti-codon, and T loops). The record is from RNAcentral. RNAcentral also lists the same sequence under 3 other names. Lineage: Bacteria; Bacillati; Bacillota; Clostridia; Eubacteriales; Eubacteriaceae.